RNAcentral lists this ribosomal RNA (497 nucleotides) under uncultured bacterium. Its description in RNAcentral is "partial 16S ribosomal RNA". It matches the Rfam family "Bacterial small subunit ribosomal RNA", at positions 28 to 507 of the family's 1533-position model. The record is from RNAcentral.
GAUGAACGCUGGCGGCGUGCCUAAUACAUGCAAGUCGAGCGAACGGACGAGAAGCUUGCUUCUCUGAUGUUAGCGGCGGACGGGUGAGUAACACGUGGAUAACCUACCUAUAAGACUGUGAUAACUUCGGGAAACCGUAGCUAAUACCUGCUAAUAUUUUGAACCGCAUGGUUCAAAAGUGAAAGACGGUCUUGCUGUCACUUAUUGAUGGAUCCGCGCUGCAUUAGCUAGUUGGUAAGGUAACGGCUUACCAAGGCAACGACGAAUAGCCGACCUGAGAGGACGAUCGGCCACACUGGAACUGAGACACGGUCCAGACUCCUACGGGAGGCAGCAGUAGGGAAUCUUCCGCAAUGGGCGAAAGCCUGACGGAGCAACGCCGCGUGAGUGAUGAAGGUCUUCGGAUCGUAAAACUCUGUUAUUAGGGAAGAACAUAUGUGUAAGUAACUGGGCAGAGCUUGACGGUACCGAAUCAGAAAGCCACGGCUAACUACGUG